CCUACGGGUGGCUGCAGUGGGGAAUAUUGGGCAAUGGGCGCAAGCCUGACCCAGCAACGCCGCGUGAAGGAAGAAGGCUUUCGGGUUGUAAACUUCUUUUAAGGGGGAAGAGGAGAAGACGGUACCCCGUGAAUAAGCCACGGCUAACUACGUACCAGCAGCCGCGCUAAUGCGGAGGUGGCAAGCGUUGUCCGGAUUUACUGGGUGUAAAGGGCGUGCAGCCGGGAGGACAAGUCAGAUGUGAAAUGCCGCGGCUCAACCGCGGAACUGCAGUUGAAACUGUUUUUCUUGAGUACAGGAGAGGUCAUCGGAAUUCCUUGUGUAGCGGUGAAAUGCGUAGAUAUAAGGAAGAACACCAAUGGCGAAGGCAGAUGACUGGACGGCAACUGACGGUGAGGCGCGAAAGCGUGGGGAGCAAACAGGAUUAGAUACCCGGGUAGUC
RNAcentral lists this ribosomal RNA (442 nucleotides) under uncultured bacterium. Its description in RNAcentral is "partial 16S ribosomal RNA". It matches the Rfam family "Bacterial small subunit ribosomal RNA", at positions 338 to 795 of the family's 1533-position model. The record is from RNAcentral.